RNAcentral lists this ribosomal RNA (396 nucleotides) under uncultured bacterium. RNAcentral describes it as "bacterial SSU rRNA". It matches the Rfam family "Bacterial small subunit ribosomal RNA", at positions 28 to 429 of the family's 1533-position model. The record is from RNAcentral.
GAUGAACGCUAGCGGCAUGCCUUACACAUGCAAGUCGAACGGCAGCACGGGAGCAAUCCUGGUGGCGAGUGGCGAACGGGUGAGUAAUAUAUCGGAACGUGCCCAGUCGUGGGGAUAACGUAGCGAAAGCUACGCUAAUACCGCAUACGAUCUAUGGAUGAAAGCGGGGGAUCGCAAGACCUCGCGCGAUUGGAGCGGCCGAUAUCAGAUUAGGUAGUUGGUGAGGUAAAGGCUCACCAAGCCGACGAUCUGUAGCUGGUCUGAGAGGACGACCAGCCACACUGGGACUGAGACACGGCCCAGACUCCUACGGGAGGCAGCAGUGAGGAAUUUUUGGACAAUGGACGCAAGUCUGAUCCAGCCAUGCCGCGUGCAGGAUGAAGGCCUCGGUGUAAC